This 301-nucleotide ribosomal RNA is filed under the name uncultured bacterium. RNAcentral describes it as "partial 16S ribosomal RNA". It matches the Rfam family "Bacterial small subunit ribosomal RNA", at positions 509 to 808 of the family's 1533-position model. The record is from RNAcentral.
CAGCAGCCGCGGGAAUACGAAGGGGGCUAGCGUUGCUCGGAAUGACUGGGCGUAAAGGGCGCGUAGGCGGUUUUGACAGUCAGAUGUGAAAUUCCUGGGCUUAACCUGGGGGCUGCAUUUGAGACGUCAGACUAGAGUGUGAGAGAGGGUUGUGGAAUUCCCAGUGUAGAGGUGAAAUUCGUAGAUAUUGGGAAGAACACCGGUGGCGAAGGCGGCAACCUGGCUCAUUACUGACGCUGAGGCGCGAAAGCGUGGGGAGCAAACAGGAUUAGAGACCCCUGUAGUCCCUGUCUCUUAUACA